This 223-nucleotide ribosomal RNA is filed under the name uncultured bacterium. Its description in RNAcentral is "partial 16S ribosomal RNA". It matches the Rfam family "Bacterial small subunit ribosomal RNA", at positions 96 to 334 of the family's 1533-position model. The record is from RNAcentral.
UGGCGGACGGGUGAGGAGCGCGUAAGGACCUGCCCCUGGGAGGGGGAUAACAGCUGGAAACGGCUGCUAAUACCCCAUAGCCUGAGGAGGGAAAGGAGAGAUCCGCCCAGGGAGGGGCUUGCGUCUGAUUAGCUAGUUGGGGGGGGUAAUGGCCUCCCAAGGCAACGAUCAGUAGCUGGUCUGAGAGGAUGAUCAGCCACACUGGGACUGAGACACGGCCCAG